ACAAAAUUUCCAGAUGUAGCGUAAGAUACCCACACUUCUCCCCCUUUACCCUUAAUAUAUAUAUAUAUAUAUAUAAAAGUUCCUCUCAUAAUCUAAUGCCAUUUGUUCUUGUUUCGUCUACUAGAAAUUCUCUCGUCUCGUAUCUCGUUGGCAAUAUGGGUCGUCUAAGUCGGACUAUCUACGUCGGAAAUCUUCCUGGUGAUAUUCGGGAGAGAGAAGUAGAAGAUUUGUUUUACAAGUAUGGGCCCAUUGUGGAAAUUGAUUUGAAAGUUCCCCCCAGGCCACCUGGUUAUGCGUUCGUAGAGUUUGAAGAUCCCCGUGAUGCUGAGGAUGCCAUCCGUGGGCGUGAUGGCUGUGACUUUGACGGACAUCGUUUGCGAGUUGAACUUGCGCAUGGUGGGCGAAGACCAUCAUCAUAUGAUCGCCACAGUAGUUAUAGUAGUUACAGUAGUGGGAGUCGUGGUGGACUUUCUAGGCGCUCUGACUAUCGUGUAAUGGUGUCUGGACUACCAUCUUCUGCUUCAUGGCAAGACUUGAAGGAUCACAUGCGACGAGCUGGAGAUGUCUGUUUCUCUCAAGUUUUCCGAGAUCGUGACGGUAUGCGAGGGAUUGUGGACUAUACCAACUAUGACGAUAUGAAAUAUGCGAUAAAGAAACUUGAUGACUCUCUGUUUCGCAAUCAAUUCUCUCGAUCAUAUAUUAGGGUGGACAGGUAUGAUAAGAGGCAUAGCUAUUCCAGGAGUCCAAGUCCAUAUUAUUCAAGAAGCAGAAGUUACUCAAGAAGCAGGAGUCCUCGACUAAGCUAUAGCAGAAGUGUAUCUCCUAGGGGUAGAUACCAUCGUCGCUCUGUCUCUCUCUCACCCUCAAGGUCUCUUUCCCCUGCUCGCUCUUUCUCAAGAUCUGGCUUCCGCGAUCUGGGGAUUGCUAUAUAAGACAGGUGAUGGUUAAUGGUGCUCAAAUUCAGACAAAUCGUUUGGAUGUGGCUGUAACCUGGUUUAGUGGAUGAGCACCUCUGGCAAACUUUGGAUGAUCCAUAUCAAGAUCCAGAUCUCCACUUUCACCUCCGCGUCACCGGAGGUAUGCAAGGAGCCCCAGCCCAAGCAGGAGCCGGAGCAGGAGUCUCUCCUAUUCUCGCUCUUCGGAGAUAUCCUACUGAGACUUCUACAGAAACAAAGGGCAGACUGUAGCUAAAAUAAACUGCAUCCAGCAGACGUGCAGGAUGUUAAGGAAUUGGCUUUUAGCGCUAUGUUUAGUAUAUAGCUAAUUUCUUCAGUUGUUGUAACAUUGAGAGACGGAGCUUUGAACUCUAGCUAGCUAGUUAGUUGCACGUUUUAGAAACUUGUUCUAUGUUACUCGCCAUGUAUGCUUUUCGAACUGCUAAGUCAAAACUUGAGGACGUAUAUCUGUUAACAUUUGGCCCGUGAAUGUCAUUUGUUGCUGACUUACUGCUAUAAGCAUGUCAGCUGUUAUCAAA
RNA transcript from Capsicum annuum, 1474 nucleotides. It is a transcript of the gene named serine/arginine-rich splicing factor SR30, with no coding region annotated. The record is from RefSeq and is a predicted model, not a curated record. Lineage: Eukaryota; Viridiplantae; Streptophyta; Magnoliopsida; Solanales; Solanaceae. The transcript is spliced from 15 exons.